This 634-nucleotide long non-coding RNA is filed under the name Homo sapiens (human). RNAcentral describes it as "HSALNT0208569". Lineage: Eukaryota; Metazoa; Chordata; Mammalia; Primates; Hominidae. The record is from RNAcentral.
AAGUGUCAAGAUCCCCCAAAACAAGACAAGACUAAACAAGACAAGACUAAAAAACUGUCAUAGAUCAGAGAAGAAUGGAGAGACCUGGUGACUAAAUGCUUUGGGCUAUCCUGGAUUGGAUUCUAGAAUAGCAAAUAAGGAACUUUCAGUAAAUACUUUUGUAAUUGCCCAUGAGUUGUCAAGCACUCAUGAGAUGAAGUUCCAACUCUACAGAUGAAAGCCCUGUUUUUGAAUCAAGCACUUCAUGAGUAAGGAUUUCACAAAGCUGCAAAAUCUGCUCUUGAGAACCCCUGACAACUAAAUAUUCCAUGGCUUCCACUGAUAAUCAUGCUGUCAGUUAAGUAUUUUGCUUUUUUUAAACAGCUGGGUAUAUUUUUUUCUCUAUGAAAUUCUGUUAAAAGGCUUGUCAUAUACCAGGAGGUAUCAACAAUCACCAAGCUCUCGUGCAUUAACUACCUGUUUCACCUCCAUUGAGGAUAUGUCUCAGGUCAAUAAUUGGAUCUAUGGAACCUGGCUGUGAUAAAUACCAAGGAAUUCUAUGCCAGUUCACAGCAGUAAGAGUGCAGAAGUGCCAGGAGCUGAUGUGCCCAAGAACUGAGCCCAAGUCUUAGCACAAGAUCUCCAUCCAUCAAAU